Molecule: ribosomal RNA, 425 nt
Filed under: uncultured bacterium
Lineage: Bacteria
Description: bacterial SSU rRNA
Rfam family: Bacterial small subunit ribosomal RNA
Source: RNAcentral
ACAGCAGCCGCGGUAAUACGUAGGGUGCGAGCGUUGUCCGGAAUUAUUGGGCGUAAAGAGCUUGUAGGCGGUUUGUCGCGUCUGCCGUGAAAAUCCGGGGCUCAACCCCGGACUUGCGGUGGGUACGGGCAGACUAGAGUGUGGUAGGGGAGACUGGAAUUCCUGGUGUAGCGGUGAAAUGCGCAGAUAUCAGGAGGAACACCGAUGGCGAAGGCAGGUCUCUGGGCCACUACUGACGCUGAGAAGCGAAAGCGUGGGGAGCGAACAGGAUUAGAUACCCUGGUAGUCCACGCCGUAAACGUUGGGAACUAGGUGUGGGUCUCAUUCCACGAGAUCUGUGCCGCAGCUAACGCAUUAAGUUCCCCGCCUGGGGAGUACGGCCGCAAGGCUAAAACUCAAAGGAAUUGACGGGGGCCCGCACAAGC